UACGUAGGUGGCGAGCGUUGUCCGGAUUUAUUGGGCGUAAAGCGCGCGCAGGUGGUCCGUUAAGUCCUGUGUGAAAUCUCCCGGCUCACCCGGGAGGGGGCGCGGGAUACUGGGGGACUGGAGGCAGGCAGAGGCCGGUGGAAUUCCCGGUGUAGUGGUGAAAUGCGUAGAGAUCGGGAGGAACACCAGUGGCGAAAGCGGCCGGCUGGGCCUGUUCUGACACUGAGGCGCGAAAGCGUGGGGAGCGAACAGG
This 253-nucleotide ribosomal RNA is filed under the name uncultured bacterium. RNAcentral's name for it is "partial 16S ribosomal RNA". It matches the Rfam family "Bacterial small subunit ribosomal RNA", at positions 524 to 776 of the family's 1533-position model. The record is from RNAcentral.